Molecule: long non-coding RNA, 1982 nt
Filed under: Homo sapiens (human)
Lineage: Eukaryota; Metazoa; Chordata; Mammalia; Primates; Hominidae
Description: HSALNT0249325
Source: RNAcentral
AAAUUUCUUCCUCUAAAGCAGCCUUAAGGCAGAGAUCUUACUAUAUUAAAUGUGUAUACAGAAACAACUCUGCAAAAAUGUACCUCACAAGGGCGAUAAAUAAUGAUUCUGGUUGUUAUAAAGAAUAACUGUAUUCGAUACGUUUUUGAUAUGGGUCAAAUGCUCCCAAAGCAUACAAAGUGGGCACGGAGAGACUGGCAUUAAAGUUUUGGCAUUUCGUCAGGACUACAAUGCUAUUCAAAAUGCUAUUCCCCAGCUUUCAUGAAGGUGUUUCUUUUCAAUAAAUCUGAAGCACCAUAACCAUGACACAAAUUUGAAUGUAAACAAAGAAUGCUGAUCCCGUAACUAAAUGCAGCAGUGCCUUUACUUCAGAACAGGCAAACACUGCCAGCAAAAACAACAAACAAAAUUUCUGUUGAAACAGAAACAGCAGAGCGUGAAAUAGCAGCCUGCCAUCAGACAUUGGGAGUUUGAUUUUCAUCAAUGGCAGCUGAAACAGCCCUCUCCACCCACUUCUGCAUGAAAAAAGAAAAGAAAAGAAAACUGAUAAUACCAUCUGCAUGCAAGCAGGAGGACAAACCUUGUGGGUCUAUUUGCUGCACUCCAGCAUGAACCUAGAGCAGCCACAAACUCCUCUUUAGGCUCUAUUUCAUUCCGUGAACCUAACUGAUACUCCCAGUUAUUGUACAUUUGGAGGAAUACACAGUGAUUUUAUUUUUUAAAGAUUCUGGCGGUGUCACGACAUCUAUUGGAAAACUUUUCAAGCAGAGGGCUUCUGAUUGAUUUGCUUGGGGUCAUGUGGAGGUAAAAGAAAAAGUUUAAAAAAAUAAGCACUUACAAGUGGCAAAUGGCAAAUCCAACCAGCAAAGGUGAGUGCAUUUCAAAAGCUUCCUCUGUGAUGACUACACAGAAACGUGCUAUGGGCAUGUACUAUGUGCGCCAAAAUAACUGCCGAUGGUUGCGAUAUGGCUAUUUCCAAUUCAUGUGUUACAAUGCUAAACACGCUCCUGAAACACUACCUUCUGCGAGAGAGGAAACUUUCACACAGAGACGAAAUGAACAGGACAAAUAUACACUGUGGUAGUACUAAAAGGAAAUUUAGACCGAAUAAAGCAGAUUGAUAACACGGGUGGAAAACAUCCUCGGCUAGACUAGAUUAUUAAUGAUACCAGAGAAGCAACAAUGUGCUUUAUAAUUCUUAUAUGUAUUUGUACAUCAUGAACGGCAUAUUGAUCAUAAGGAAACAAAGCAAAUGGAUUAACUCACCACUGAAUAGUAUCUAUGGCAAGGCCACAUGCACAUUACAUGUCAAAAGACAACCAACCUCCACAACAACAAUCUCAGCCACAUCCUGCAGACCUAGUCACUGCUGUUAGAAAUGUUUGGUGCAAUUUAACCCGUAUGCAACUAAUAAUUAUUAUGAUGAUAAUCAUUUAAAUAGUUUAGAUUACUGCAUAGCAAAUAGUCACUACCCUCUUACUGCCACUAUUGGCAGAAUAUACUUUCCCAUUUCAUUGAUGUUUAGUGUGGUGAGAUGUCUUGCUUUGGCCACUGGGAUGUUGGUGGAUAUAACAUCAGUAAAUGCUUGAAAUGUGCCUGCCUUCUUGGAGUAUGCUACCACCAUGCAAAAGAACAUGUUCUGCCUACCCACCAAAUUAAGGAUGAAGGCAUGUGGAGCAGAUCUAGACCAAAUCUGCAGCGUGGAUCUAAGCCCAGCCUGGAUAAGCUGAGCCCCACUUGGCUCACAAAUGCAGGAGCAAGAAGAGUGAUUGUCGUUUUAAGCCACUGAGUUCCGAGGUGGUUUGUUAUGCAGCAUCACUGUGGCAAAUGCUAACUGAGAACAAUAUCAACAACACAUCAUCACAAAUAGAGCCCAUUUUUAAUUAAAUGGUAUAGGGUAAAAUUAAAAUACAGACAUUGCAGUAUUGCUGAUAGCAUAUAGUUAUAAGCCUUAGUAUUAUACAAUUGGACCUUCUUUUAGU